This 475-nucleotide ribosomal RNA is filed under the name uncultured bacterium. RNAcentral describes it as "bacterial SSU rRNA". It matches the Rfam family "Bacterial small subunit ribosomal RNA", at positions 15 to 507 of the family's 1533-position model. The record is from RNAcentral.
GAUCAUGGCUCAGAUUGAACGCUGGCGGCAGGCCUAACACAUGCAAGUCGAGCGGAUGAAGAGAGCUUGCUCUCUGAUUCAGCGGCGGACGGGUGAGUAAUGGCCUAGGAAUCUGCCUGGUAGUGGGGGGACAACGUUUCGAAAGGAACGCUAAUACCGCAUACGUCCUACGGGAGAAAGCAGGGGACCUUCGGGCCUUGCGCUAUCAGAUGAGCCUAGGUCGGAUUAGCUAGUAGGUGAGGUAAUGGCUCACCUAGGCGACGAUCCGUAACUGGUCUGAGAGGAUGAUCAGUCACACUGGAACUGAGACACGGUCCAGACUCCUACGGGAGGCAGCAGUGGGGGAAUAUUGGACAAUGGGCGAAAGCCUGAUCCAGCAAUGCCGCGUGAGUGAUGAAGGCCUUCGGGUUGUAAAGCUCUUUUACUCGGGACGAUAAUGACGGUACCGAGAGAAUAAGCCCCGGCUAACUCCGUG